Molecule: long non-coding RNA, 930 nt
Filed under: Hordeum vulgare
Lineage: Eukaryota; Viridiplantae; Streptophyta; Magnoliopsida; Poales; Poaceae
Description: long non-coding RNA (HVUL_LNC012416)
Source: RNAcentral
GUAUGAGCUCGGCUCGGCUCAUUCCCGCAACCCGCGGCGCGUCGUGACGAGCCGUGGCGUGGCGAUGCGGGCGGCGGCGGAGGAGUGCGCGAGGGCCUCUUCUCUUCUCACUCUCCAAUAGCAUGUAGAAGAGAGACCCUUAUAAAGGGGUCCAACUUCUUCUUCACUAGCGGGCUGGGACUAAACUUCCCAGCACCACCUUGUCAUGCUACCACCUACAUGGACCCUUAGAGAUUUUCUGAAAUUGUCUAAUGGGCCUUAGGGCCAUCUCAUAUUUCAACAAUCACCAGAUCUCAAGGGCACAUUGUGUUCUUAUCGUUCCAAUCAUUGUUUUGAUAAUACCAAUAUUUCAGUGAAGACCUGUUAAGGUCGAGCUUCACCUAGAGGAAGCAGCUACACUCCUUUACAAUUGAACAAUGGACUAUGUCUUGAAUUGUCAGUUUGACGUAAAGAAGCUUCACCACAAGUCUUACUGGUACUAGGCUACCGAAGGCUGACCCUUCGGGUGGAGCAUAUUAGUCACACUCCGUGCCUAUUCAUGAGUUUACUAGAGAUCACCCCAAUCUCAUAGACUGUGACCAGCGGUCGGGCUCAUGCCUUGAAUUGUCAGUUUGACGUAAAGAAGCUUCACCACAAGUCUUACUGGGCCUUGAAUUGUCAGUUUGACGUAAAGAAGCUUCACCACAAGUCUUACUGGUACUAGGCUACCGAAGGCUGACCCUUCGGGUGGAGCAUAUUAGUCACACUCCGUGCCUAUUCAUGAGUUUACUAGAGAUCACCCCAAUCUCAUAGACUGUGACCAGCGGUCGGGCUCAUAUAGGUGUGCUCCUCCAAAGAUCGCUUUGUAGGACAACAUCUUGCUUACACAUAAGCUUUAGAACACAUUAAGACAAUAGUCAUCCUACCAUACAAUAUCCGAAAGUAUUGAAU